UACGGAGGGAGCUAGCGUUGUUCGGAAUUACUGGGCGUAAAGCGUGCGCAGGCGGCUUCUCAAGUCAGGGGUGAAAGCCCAGAGCUCAACUCUGGAAUUGCCUUUGAUACUGGCGAGCUUGAGUUCGGGAGAGGUGAGUGGAACUGCGAGUGUAGAGGUGAAAUUCGUAGAUAUUCGCAAGAACACCAGUGGCGAAGGCGGCUCACUGGCCCGAUACUGACGCUGAGGUGCGAAAGCGUGGGGAGCAAACAGG
Molecule: ribosomal RNA, 253 nt
Filed under: uncultured bacterium
Lineage: Bacteria
Description: partial 16S ribosomal RNA
Rfam family: Bacterial small subunit ribosomal RNA
Source: RNAcentral